AGCAUAAUAUAAGUCUAUGUUACGGCCAUAGAAUCGGUGAUUCUCAUCUUAUGCUUU
RNAcentral lists this transfer RNA (57 nucleotides) under Dibothriocephalus dendriticus. RNAcentral's name for it is "tRNA-Arg". Lineage: Eukaryota; Metazoa; Platyhelminthes; Cestoda; Diphyllobothriidea; Diphyllobothriidae. The record is from RNAcentral.